Molecule: ribosomal RNA, 445 nt
Filed under: uncultured bacterium
Lineage: Bacteria
Description: partial 16S ribosomal RNA
Rfam family: Bacterial small subunit ribosomal RNA
Source: RNAcentral
GUGAGGAAUAUUGGUCAAUGGACGAGAGUCUGAACCAACCAAGUCGCGUGAAGGAAGACGGUUCUAUGAAUUGUAAACUUCUUUUGUGCAGGAAUAAAGUGGGUUACGUGUAACCUUUUGUAUGUACUGUACGAAUAAGGAUCGGCUAACUCCGUGCCAGCAGCCGCGGUAAUACGGAGGAUCCGAGCGUUAUCCGGAUUUAUUGGGUUUAAAGGGUGCGUAGGUGGAUUGAUAAGUCAGCGGUGAAAGUUUGCAGCUUAACUGUAAAAUUGCCGUUGAAACUGUCGGUCUUGAGUGCAAAUGAGGUAGGCGGAAUGUGUUGUGUAGCGGUGAAAUGCUUAGAUAUAACACAGAACUCCGAUUGCGAAGGCAGCUUACUGGGAUGCAACUGACACUGAUGCACGAAAGCGUGGGUAUCAAACAGGAUUAGAUACCCGUGUAGUCC